ACGAACGCUGGCGGCGUGCUUAACACAUGCAAGUCGAACGGAGAUUAUUAAUGAAGCUUGCGAUUUAAUAAUCUUAGUGGCGGACGGGUGAGUAACGCGUGGGCAACCUACCCAUAAGCGGGGGAUAACAGUUGGAAACGACUGCUAAUACCGCAUAAGCUAUUGAGGUCGCAUGACCUAAAUAGUAAAGGUGGCGAAAGCUAUCACUUAUGGAUGGGCCCGCGUCUGAUUAGCUAGUUGGUGGGAUAGCAGCCUACCAAGGCAACGAUCAGUAGCCGGCCUGAGAGGGUGGACGGCCACACUGGGACUGAGACACGGCCCAGACUCCUACGGGAGGCAGCAGUGGGGAAUAUUGUGCAAUGGGGGAAACCCUGACGCAGCGACGCCGCGUGAGCGAAGAAGGCCUUAGGGUCGUAAAGCUCUGUUGUAAGGGACGAAUGUUUAUCUGGCGAACAGUCAGAUAAAGUGACGGUACCUUACCAGCAAGCCCCGGCUAACUACGUG
This 504-nucleotide ribosomal RNA is filed under the name uncultured bacterium. RNAcentral's name for it is "bacterial SSU rRNA". It matches the Rfam family "Bacterial small subunit ribosomal RNA", at positions 29 to 507 of the family's 1533-position model. The record is from RNAcentral.